CCUACGGGUGGCAGCAGUGGGGAAUAUUGCACAAUGGGGGAAACCCUGAUGCAGCGACGCCGCGUGAGUGAAGAAGUAUUUCGGUAUGUAAAGCUCUAUCAGCAGGGAAGAAAAUGACGGUACCUGAUUAAGAAGCCCCGGCUAACUACGUGCCAGCAGCCGCGGUAAUACGUAGGGGCAAGCGUUAUCCGGGUUUACUGGGUGUAAAGGGGGCGUAGACGGCAGAACAAGUCUGGAGUGAAAUGCCGGGGCUUAACCCCGGAACUGCUUUGGAAACUGUGCAGCUAGAGUGGAGGAGAGGUAAGUGGAAUUCCUAGUGUAGCGGUGAAAUGCGUAGAUAUUAGGAGGAACACCAGUGGCGAAGGCGGCUUACUGGACUGUAACUGACGUUGAGGCUCGAAAGCGUGGGGAGCAAACAGGAUUAGAUACCCUAGUAGUC
Molecule: ribosomal RNA, 439 nt
Filed under: uncultured bacterium
Lineage: Bacteria
Description: partial 16S ribosomal RNA
Rfam family: Bacterial small subunit ribosomal RNA
Source: RNAcentral